CGUCUCGCGCUGUGGUUGCGUCUCUGAGGGAAUAAAUCACGUCAUCCUUAUUUACGCGUUUGGCGUUCAAGGAGCUAAAAUAUAUUACAACAGAACUUACUUAUAGCAACCACUAUUUUGUGUUAUUAAAUAUUGUAUAUAUAAUAUAAAACGGACGCGAUGUUUCUUAAGGUACCUAUUUAAACAGCAAAAAAUCUAGUUUCCCCUCUUGACAGAUAUAUAAAAGCCACAAUUCAAUUUAAAAUAUCGCUUUACAUUGUGUCACGAAGCCCUGCACUGAUUCAGGUCACCUGGAGUCGUUUGAAGAAGUGGCUGCGAAUGUAUAGCUGGAGAACAUCUCGUUUUAAAUGAGAAGACAAAGGUUGGAAGGUGAUGGCGAAUAAACAGGGAACGGACAGCGGCCCUCAGAGACAUCAGGGGCCCCCGGUAAGGUCAGGGGCCCCGGAUGAAGCGCUAUCUUCAACAUCCGGAACAGACCGAAGCCUCUCGCUGUAAACAUUGAAGGAGGAGGUCGUCGACUUAAU
Long non-coding RNA from Puntigrus tetrazona (Sumatra barb), 524 nucleotides. RefSeq lists it as uncharacterized. The transcript is spliced from 3 exons. NCBI's taxonomy places the organism in Eukaryota, Metazoa, Chordata, Actinopteri, Cypriniformes, Cyprinidae. The record is from RefSeq and is a predicted model, not a curated record.